RNAcentral lists this ribosomal RNA (1372 nucleotides) under uncultured bacterium. Its description in RNAcentral is "bacterial SSU rRNA". It matches the Rfam family "Bacterial small subunit ribosomal RNA", at positions 28 to 1381 of the family's 1533-position model. The record is from RNAcentral.
GAUGAACGCUGGCGGCGUGCCUAAUACAUGCAAGUCGAGCGAACGGACGAGAAGCUUGCUUCUCUGAUGUUAGCGGCGGACGGGUGAGUAACACGUGGAUAACCUACCUAUAAGACUGGGAUAACUUCGGGAAACCGGAGCUAAUACCGGAUGAUAUUUUGAACCGCAUGGUUCAAAAGUGAAAGACGGUCUUGCUGUCACUUAUAGAUGGAUCCGCGCUGCAUUAGCUAGUUGGUAAGGUAACGGCUUACCAAGGCAACGAUGCAUAGCCGACCUGAGAGGGUGAUCGGCCACACUGGAACUGAGACACGGUCCAGACUCCUACGGGAGGCAGCAGUAGGGAAUCUUCCGCAAUGGGCGAAAGCCUGACGGAGCAACGCCGCGUGAGUGAUGAAGGUCUUCGGAUCGUAAAACUCUGUUAUUAGGGAAGAACAUAUGUGUAAGUAACUGUGCAUAUCUUGACGGUACCUAAUCAGAAAGCCACGGCUAACUACGUGCCAGCAGCCGCGGUAAUACGUAGGUGGCAAGCGUUAUCCGGAAUUAUUGGGCGUAAAGCGCGCGUAGGCGGUUUUUUAAGUCUGAUGUGAAAGCCCACGGCUCAACCGUGGAGGGUCAUUGGAAACUGGAAAACUUGAGUGCAGAAGAGGAAAGUGGAAUUCCAUGUGUAGCGGUGAAAUGCGCAGAGAUAUGGAGGAACACCAGUGGCGAAGGCGACUUUCUGGUCUGUAACUGACGCUGAUGUGCGAAAGCGUGGGGAUCAAACAGGAUUAGAUACCCUGGUAGUCCACGCCGUAAACGAUGAGUGCUAAGUGUUAGGGGGUUUCCGCCCCUUAGUGCUGCAGCUAACGCAUUAAGCACUCCGCCUGGGGAGUACGACCGCAAGGUUGAAACUCAAAGGAAUUGACGGGGACCCGCACAAGCGGUGGAGCAUGUGGUUUAAUUCGAAGCAACGCGAAGAACCUUACCAAAUCUUGACAUCCUUUGACAACUCUAGAGAUAGAGCCUUCCCCUUCGGGGGACAAAGUGACAGGUGGUGCAUGGUUGUCGUCAGCUCGUGUCGUGAGAUGUUGGGUUAAGUCCCGCAACGAGCGCAACCCUUAAGCUUAGUUGCCAUCAUUAAGUUGGGCACUCUAAGUUGACUGCCGGUGACAAACCGGAGGAAGGUGGGGAUGACGUCAAAUCAUCAUGCCCCUUAUGAUUUGGGCUACACACGUGCUACAAUGGACAAUACAAAGGGCAGCGAAACCGCGAGGUCAAGCAAAUCCCAUAAAGUUGUUCUCAGUUCGGAUUGUAGUCUGCAACUCGACUACACGAAGCUGGAAUCGCUAGUAAUCGUAGAUCAGCAUGCUACGGUGAAUACGUUCCCGGGUCU